GAUCAUACGGCAGCCGGAGUGGCCCCCACGAUAGGGACCGACGUUCCAUCAGGGGUGAGCAGACGUGCGCCGGCCGUACGCCCCCAUUCUUGUCUACAUCACCCGGUUGCCUCGGCGGGCCGCGCUCCCCCUGCCAGGGAGAGCCGUCCGGCGGGCCCCUUCUGGGAGCCUCGAGCCGGACCGCGCCCGCCGGAGGACAGACACCAAGAAAAAAUUCUCUGAAGAGCUGUCAGUCUGAGCGUUUAGCAAGCACAAUCAGUUAAAACUUUCAACAACGGAUCUCUUGGUUCCGGCAUCGAUGAAGAACGCAGCGAAAUGCGAUAAGUAAUGUGAAUUGCAGAAUUCCGUGAAUCAUCGAAUCUUUGAACGCACAUUGCGCCCUCUGGCAUUCCGGGGGGCAUGCCUGUUCGAGCGUCAUUUCAACCCCUCAAGCCCGGCUUGUGUGAUGGACGACCGUCCGGCCCCUCCCUUCGGGGGCGGGACGCGCCCGAAAAGCAGUGGCCAGGCCGCGAUUCCGGCUCCUAGGCGAAUGGGCAGCCAAUUCAGCGCCCUCAGGACCGGCCGCCCUGGCCCCNA
This 576-nucleotide unclassified non-coding RNA is filed under the name Trichophyton rubrum. Its description in RNAcentral is "sequence contains 18S rRNA gene, ITS1, 5.8S rRNA gene, ITS2, 28S rRNA gene". The stretch from base 264 to 417 matches the Rfam family "5.8S ribosomal RNA". Lineage: Eukaryota; Fungi; Ascomycota; Eurotiomycetes; Onygenales; Arthrodermataceae. The record is from RNAcentral.